UUGGAGGGCAAGUCUGGUGCCAGCAGCCGCGGUAAUUCCAGCUCCAAUAGCGUAUAUUAAAGUUGUUGCAGUUAAAAAGCUCGUAGUUGAAUUUCGGGGUUAGUAGGUUGGUCAUGCCUCCGGUAUGUACUGGUCACACUGAUUCCUCCUUCCUGAUGAACCGUAAUGCCAUUAAUUUGGUGUUGCGGGGAAUUUGGACUGUUACUUUGAAAAAAUUAGAGUGUUUAAAGCAAGCUAACGCUUGAAUACAUUAGCAUGGAAUAAUGAAAUAGGACGUUCGAUCCUAUUUUGUUGGUUUCUAGGAUUGACGUAAUGAUUAAUAGGGAUAGUUGGGGGCAUUAGUAUUCAAUUGUCAGAGGUGAGAUUCUUGGAUUUAUUGAAGACUAACUACUGCGAAAGCAUUUGCCAAGGAUGUUUUCAUUAAUCAAGAACGAGAGUUAGGGGAUCGAAGACGAUCAGAUACCGUCGUAGUCUUAACCAUAAACUAUGCCGACUAGGGAUCGGAUGAUGUUAAUAUUAAUGACUCAUUCGGCACCUUACGGGAAACCAAAGUGUUUGGGUUC
RNAcentral lists this ribosomal RNA (563 nucleotides) under uncultured Glomeromycotina. RNAcentral describes it as "SSU rRNA". It matches the Rfam family "Eukaryotic small subunit ribosomal RNA", at positions 548 to 1114 of the family's 1831-position model. Lineage: Eukaryota; Fungi; Glomeromycota. The record is from RNAcentral.